GAUGAACGCUAGCUACAGGCUUAACACAUGCAAGUCGAGGGGCAUCACAAGGUAGCAAUACUGAGGUGGCGACCGGCGCACGGGUGAGUAACACGUAUCCAACCUGCCGUUUACUCUUGGAUAGCCUUCUGAAGAGGAGAUUAAUACAAGAUAGUAUCAUGAGAUCACAUGUUCACAUGAUUAAAGAAUUUCGGUAAACGAUGGGGAUGCGUUCCAUUAGAUAGUAGGCGGGGUAACGGCCCACCUAGUCUACGAUGGAUAGGGGUUCUGAGAGGAAGGUCCCCCACACUGGUACUGAGACACGGACCAGACUCCUACGGGAGGCAGCAGUGAGGA
Molecule: ribosomal RNA, 336 nt
Filed under: uncultured bacterium
Lineage: Bacteria
Description: bacterial SSU rRNA
Rfam family: Bacterial small subunit ribosomal RNA
Source: RNAcentral